This 342-nucleotide ribosomal RNA is filed under the name uncultured bacterium. Its description in RNAcentral is "bacterial SSU rRNA". It matches the Rfam family "Bacterial small subunit ribosomal RNA", at positions 917 to 1269 of the family's 1533-position model. The record is from RNAcentral.
GGGCCCGCACAAGCGGUGGAGCAUGUGGUUUAAUUCGAUGAUACGCGAGGAACCUUACCAGGGCUUAAAUGUAAGUUGCAUUAGUUAGAGAUAGCUAUUUCUUCGGACCACUUACAAGGUGCUGCAUGGUUGUCGUCAGCUCGUGCCGUGAGGUGUCAGGUUAAGUCCUUUAACGAGCGCAACCCUUGUACUUAGUUGACUUCGGUGACUCUAAGUAGACUGCCCACUAGGAUAGUGGGAGAAAGGUAAGGAUGACGUCAAGUCCUCAUGGCCCUUAUGAACUGGGCUACACACGUGUUACAAUGGUAAGAACAAUGAGAAGCGAUCUUGUAAAAGUGAGCA